Non-coding RNA from Ictidomys tridecemlineatus (thirteen-lined ground squirrel), 4195 nucleotides. NCBI's taxonomy places the organism in Eukaryota, Metazoa, Chordata, Mammalia, Rodentia, Sciuridae. The record is from RefSeq and is a predicted model, not a curated record.
CGCCCUCCGCUGGCUCCUCCCAAGCUAGGUGGUGCGGGGGAGCCCCGGUCCCCGCCUCGCAGGGCAGAGGCCCGAGGAGCAGCCGUCCAGCGGCUCGGGUCCUCCCGCCACCCGCGAGGGAGGGCCACAGUACGCCCUGCGCUCUGUGGGCUAUGCCAACCGGAGGCCAGAGCUUCUGUCCCGACGCUGCCCAGAGCGAGAGGAGCCAAGCCGGGGUGAUUGAGGACAGUAACGAGGGGACCCGGGACAGGCACAGGAGAAGGGAUCGAGCCAGAAAGAGCCUCGCCACACGCCCUCGUGGCCCCUUUGUGUGACUAAAUUUGGCAAGAAUAUGGAUCCAAGCCAGUCUUUCCACGUGUGCUCCCAGCUCCCAGCUGAGAAGGCCAAGGGUUCUCUUCCGGGGAAACCAGUUCGGCUAUUAAGGGAGCCUCUCAACACAAGAUAAGGCGAGGUUUCAGAGAGAAUAGCUGUUUACCAUCAAAGCAAACUGGUUCCACGCAGACAUGGUAUAUUAUACACAAAGACGAAGCCCCUGAAUGCAAGUCAUCUACUGCAACAGGUGUGACCCAUUGAAAUGGUCUUCCUUCAAAUAUUGAAGAAAAAUCCUGAUGUGUUGGACUUAUUGACAUGAGAUGUUCACUUUUCAAUUGAUAUUCAUUACUUGUAGUUUCCAUAUUUAUGAAUUCACCAACUUGCUAAAACUUACUAGUAACUCCAAUCCAUAUUUGUACACUUUCGCACUUAUUCGCUCAUUUUUAGUCCUGUCCCAAAGAAUGAAAAAUUCAGGUUGCCCUGCCGCAGUCUGGCUGGGCACAAAUCACCGAGCUGCCACAAAGCACUUGUAUCUACAAACAGGAAACUUUAUUGCCUGAACUCCAACAGCAUUCCACACACACUCUCCGGGAACUCUCCCGAACCACCCAUGCGGCUUCUCCAGGAACACACCACACACCAACCGGAAACCCCUCCACCGGAACCUCACCAACUAACGGGAACUCUUCAGGAAUCCCCGCGAGAGCUCAACCGGAACUCAACGGGAACUCCUCGAGAACUCAAAAGUCAUCAUCUUAACCACUGGCGUCACCUCUCAACCACUACUUCUGGCAAAAAUGCCAUGCGUCAUCCCGACUCGGCUGUGGCCCUCAACAUCGCCCAGUGUACAAGUUUCCCAGCCAAUGUUGAACAAGGGAAGCUCCACCUUCUCAUUUCAGUUCUUUGAUUUUUGCUGGGCAUGGAGCACACCAGUAAUCCCAGCAAUCUGGGAUUGCAAGUUUGAGGUCAGCCUUGGCAAUUUAGCAAAAUCCUGUCUCAAGAGACAAAAUAAAAAGGGCUAAGGAUGUGGCUCAGUGAUAAAGUGUCCCCCUGGGUUCAAUCCCCAGUACCAAAAAAAAGGUGUUGCACACUUUUCCCUUUGGCAAUCAAUUUAGUGCCACUUUCUUCUUCUCCUUCUUCUUCUCCUCUUUCUUCUUCUUCUGGUGAUUUCACUGCUUGCACUGCUUAUAGUGCCCCAAGCAUAGUACUGAAGGGAUAUCCUGUGUUCCUAAGCACAAGAAGACCAUACAGAUAAAUAUGUAUGUUAGAUAAGUUUCAUUCAGGUGUGAGUUUAGUGCUGUUGUCCAUGAAUUCUGUGACCAUGAAUCAAUAAUCUAUAUUAAAAAAGUGUCUUUAAACAGAAGUACAAUGUUCUUGUUUGCAUCUGGAAUGUCCCCCAAAGGCUUAUGUACUUGAAGUCUUGGUCCCAAUGUAGCAAUGUCCAAAAGUGGGUCUUUUGGAAAAUGAUUGGAUCAUGAGGACUCUAACCUCAUCAGUGGAUUAAUCCACUUGAUGAAUUAAUUUGAAUGGUUUAUUGGGAGAGGAUGAAAACUAUAGGUAGCCGGAGCAUGGUUGGAGGAAAUAGAUCACUGAGCAUGCCCUUGGGACUAUAUCUUGUCCCUGACUCCUUCUACUCUCCCUCUGCUUUCUGACUGCCAUGAGCUGAGGAGCUUUUCUCUGCUACGACUUUCUGCCAUGAUGUCCUGCCACACCUCAAGCCCAAAGUAAUGAAGCCAGAGUAAAUCUUUCCUUCUCUAAGUUGUUUGUGUCAGGUAUUUUGGUCACAGCAAACACACACACGUAUAAAACAAGCUUGUAUAUUGAUGUGACUAGAGGCUUGAAGGAACCAGACUUGAUAUUUCCCUGAAGAACAAAUGCUUAGUGCUUGCUGACUCAGUGUUUACAGUAACUUUGCAGAACAUAACUUCUGCAAUCACGAAGAAUCAAGUGCACUUUCCUCAGGAAUAGUCAAGAGUUAUUUAUUUAUUUGUAAUUUUUAAACAUGACUGUAUCCAUACCAUCUCCCACUGCCCCAAAAUGGAGUCCUCUGUAUCUUGAGUGUGAAACAAGAGGCAUUCCAAUUCCCAUAACAUCCUUUCUUGGUGUCUUCUUCUUGAGCUUGUUAGACUGUUAUUUAAAAGUCUAGGAGAGAAAUUUUGUUUGUUUUGAGAUGGGGUUUUCUUAUGUUGCCCAGGCUGGCCUUGAACUCCUGGGCUCAAGUGAACCUCUUGACAACUCUUGAGAAGCUGGGACUAUAGGUGUGGACCACCACACUUGGCUCGAGAUUUUUAUUCUUUUAAUUUUACAUUAAAUGUUGUAUGUUAAAUUUCAUCACCAUAAAUCACUGGUUUGUAUUAAGAAGUACUGAAUUACAAUUUUAGGAAAAGAAAAUUGCACCCUGAUUAAUGAUUUCUGGGUGACUUAGGAAAACAUUUUCUUAAUGACAAAAUUUUUUCCCCAUUAAGUUCCUUCAUGUUCUAAACACUACGUUAAGUACAAUAUAGACAUUAUUUUAUUGUAUCCUUACAACCUCAUUCCAAGGUAAAUUUUAUUAUCUUCACAAAUGACUAUCUGAAGAUCAGGGAGCUAGAUUUGAAUCCAUAUAAUUUGACCUUAAAGUCCAGGUCAUUCUACUACAGCAUAUGCAGCAGGAACCAAUCAUUCACGUUAACUGUUCUACCUUUUGUGAACUGUACAAAGCCCAUUAGGAGAAUACGGAUGCAGUUUAUUCAUCUGAACUGGAUGUAUCACAACAGUACCUUGACUCAAAGAAAGGCAAACAAUUCAAAGAGCAUGAGAUAGUUUGCAAAUUUGACCCGUGGUUUGUUUCUUUAACCAAAAAAGAGAGAUGUACAGGAAGAAAAAAGAAAGACAUGUACCAGACCAUUUAUUCUUAGAAUAUUUUAAUUAAUGAUAAAUGCAAAUAUUUAUAACUAUAUUUCAUAACCUGAAGAAAGCACAUAGUUCUAGAAAUGGCGCCUUUAGUUUCAGCAUACAUUGACAGUGAAACAGCAGCUGCUCUGUCACACACAUAAAACAGAUCUUCCUGCCGAAACUCUCAGGGUAAUGGUAAUUAAAUAGAUUUUUGGUUACUCCUGUCCUAUAUCCUGCACUAAGUUGAUUAACCUGUUUAAUGAGUAUAUGAGAAUGACCAAGGCUGACCUCACAUCAAAGAGCCCCGUUGUUGCUGUGUGCUGACCUGAAUUUUAAUUGUGUACUUGGUUCUUUAAUUGCACCCACGAUGUGCUAGAGAAUGAAGCAGGUUUUUAAAGUGGCAGUGGGUUUCUUUUCCCAGAUGUGUUCAGUUACUUGAAAUGUGCAGUGUUAGAUGUUGAUUUGCAAAUCCAGGCUCUGAACACUCUGAACAACAGUUUAACAGUUGUCUUCAAUACAGCUGGUGAUGGUGAUCCCUUUAAUUUAUAUGGUAAAACUUAUCUUUAUGUAUUAUUAAACAUCACAAAGGAGUUUGAGAGGGAAAAAAAUCCGUAAAUAAAUCAACAGUGAAUACAUUAGGAUCCAAAUAGUCUUUGGGAUUCCCUUAAGGCCUACAAGCUUGGUCUUCAGCUUCCCUGAGAACCAUUUCAGGCAGAUGUGGCCUCUUUAUUGAGUGCUGUCACCAAGGGCCAACUAUUACUUCAAGCUACAAGUAUCAGAUAGUAGAAAAAAGGAAGCUAGUUCUUAAGUGAUAAUAUUGAUUUAAAAAAAAAAAAACCUAAAGCUCAAUAGCAUUGACAGCAGUCUUCUCUCCAAUUCCUCUUUAAUUUAUUUUUGUAAGCAACUUGAAGAGGGUCUUUCAGCUGUCUACUUGCAAAAGGAUGAACAUUUUGAACUCAUUUUUCAUUGUGGCACUUAAAAAAAAUUGAAGGUCAUAUACUUCUGCUGC